Molecule: non-coding RNA, 96 nt
Organism: Mycena leptocephala
Lineage: Eukaryota; Fungi; Basidiomycota; Agaricomycetes; Agaricales; Mycenaceae
Source: the annotation of a GenBank genome assembly
UCGGACGUGGUGCAUGGUGCACGCCCCCACAUACUCGGUGCGAAACUUGUCUACAAUUUGCGGCGGGAAACCCGGGUUCGACUCCCGGCGUCCAAA